AAAAUAGCUUAAUAGGCAAAGCGUGACUUUGCCAAAGUCAUCAUGAGGGUUCAAAUCCCUUUUUUCGCCACA
RNAcentral lists this transfer RNA (72 nucleotides) under Bangia fuscopurpurea. RNAcentral describes it as "tRNA-Gly". It matches the Rfam family "tRNA". From Rfam's summary of the family: Transfer RNA (tRNA) molecules are approximately 80 nucleotides in length. Their secondary structure includes four short double-helical elements and three loops (D, anti-codon, and T loops). Further hydrogen bonds mediate the characteristic L-shaped molecular structure. tRNAs have two regions of fundamental functional importance: the anti-codon, which is responsible for specific mRNA codon recognition, and the 3' end, to which the tRNAs corresponding amino acid is attached (by aminoacyl-tRNA synthetases). tRNAs cope with the degeneracy of the genetic code in two manners: having more than one tRNA (with a specific anti-codon) for a particular amino acid; and 'wobble' base-pairing, i.e. permitting non-standard base-pairing at the 3rd anti-codon position. Lineage: Eukaryota; Rhodophyta; Bangiophyceae; Bangiales; Bangiaceae. The record is from RNAcentral.